AAGUGGGAGACAAACCGACAGAAACGCAGAGGAAGACUGCGGAGCGGUUUGCGGGGUCGAGGACAGGAAGCUUUAAGGUGAAAUGUCGCACUUUUGUAGAGAACUCUCUCUUCUUCUGUUAUUACUGGCUCAUGCCCAGGCUGACAACUGUCUUACUGCCAUCGUUGGAGAGACGGUGCAAAUCCCCUGCUCUCUGAAAACUGAAGAGUCUUUAAAGACGGAGGACAUUUCUGUUGAAUGGAAAACAUCUGAAGAUCUCAUUGUUCAUUCAUUUGUCAAAGGACAGGAUUAUUGGACAAAUCAGGCCCCCCAGUUUAAAGGCAGAACGCAGCUCUUUAGGUCUGAGCUUUCACAUGGCAAUCUGUCCCUGAGUCUGUCCAGUGUGUCCCUAACUGACGAUGCGGGCUAUACCUGCAACUACCACCGUUCUGGGGAGCCCACCUCCAGACAGCUUUCUCAGGAGUGCCUUCAAAUUGCAGGUCAUUACUCUGUCCCAGUUGUCCAAGGACCAGCAUCACCAGUGUUUAACGACCAGGAGGUCAAUUUCACCUGCAAGUCUACUGGGGGAUUCCCUGAGCCAAAGGUCCAGUGGUCUGUGAAUAAGGAGCUGCUUCAGAACUCAAGACGAGUGAACACAACACUGAGCCGCGACAGCAGAGGUCUGUACAAUGUGACCAGCGUCCUGAUCGUGAAUGUGACAGGAGACGUGUCUGUGACCUGCACCGUCGAGAAUGACAGACUGAGGGAGAAGACGACAUCAGCUGAAAGUGAGUAUCUGAUUAAAGCAGAGAAAGAGCCAAACGGAGGCACCAAGGUGAUAGUUGUGUUAGUGGCAGUGCUGGUUGUGCUGGUGAUUGUACUGAUUGUAGUGAUUGUGGUGUUAAAGAAGAGGAAGUGGAAACAUCAACGUAAUGGAGAAGCUGGUAUGUCAAACUUAAACACUGAGCUGAUAGGCUGCCAUGUCAUCACUUGUUGUUUAUCAUUUGUGUGUCCAAGAUGUCCUCAUUCUUUUAAAUUGCUCUUUUGUGAGGUGAAGUCCUCACACGUCUGCAGUGUCUCUCUGUCUGUAUGUCUGUCCUCCUUUGUCCCAGCACAGCUUACUGUUGGUGCAGCCUACAAGAUGGUAAAGGAUUCACCACCAGCCACUGGAGGACAUCACAGGACACACAAAUGUUAGGAGCUCCACAAAGUCACAAGGCUGACGUCGUCAAAUUUCUUUCUUUUCUUCACUCUGUGUUCUGUCCACUGUUGCUGUUAUGGUUUGAAUUUCUCAUCUCCUGCCUGCACUCUUUACACGUCUUCAUCUCAGAAUGUCACUGUUCUGACUGUCCAGCCAUCUGAACACAUUUUCAUGAAUUUUCUUUCAGUAACAAACAAAGACGAGGAAUCUGAAGCUCCACUGCAGCAAACACAAACAAGGACAACCCUGAAUAGCUGAACAGCUCUGAGAAUGUGAAAGAAGAUUGACUUGUGCUGAGACCACAGUGUUGGCAUUGAGGAGUUUCAAAUGAGCGCCUGAGGAGCACACAAGUGAAUCUGAAGCACUUUGUCUUCAUUUGGACAAAUUUGAAUUUGCACUGAUCAAGUUGACUGGAAGGUGAAUGAGUCGACAGUUUUUAAGGAAUGAACUUAAAUGUCAAGAAUGUUCUUCGCAGACGUGUCAGUCGGCAGCACGCAGCCUGUGCAGAGGUGUUUUUCUAGCAAUGACUUAUACAGAAUGAUAUUUUGAAAUACAUUAAGGUGGUCCGGAACAACAAAAAUGUUUGUAGGCUUGAAAGAUUCUAGUGUUAAACAAAGGAUAGCAAAUGAAAAAGUUUCAAAGCUUACAGCCAAAGGCAUGUGGACAGCCCUCCAAAUCACGGAGUUCAGGUGUUUCAUUGUUAAGAUGCAUCAAGCUGUCCUGAUCUGCAGAGAUUCUUUCAGUCAUAUUAUGAUGAGCCCCCCCAAAAGAAGCUAGGAAGCAGGCCAGAACCCCACCUUAGCUUCAGCCUGGCCACAGGCCCAUAUUGAGGAGCUGGCUAAGCAACUAGUAAUGUCUACAAAACAUUUUCUCUACAUUUAUAAUGGCUAACACGGUACAACACUCUAGUACUAAACAAAACAUCAGAAAUCUCCUCUGUCACUUCGCUGCUGUUCUCCCACUAAGGUCCACCAAUUCUGGAAAUCUUCUUGUGCUCCACACUAACCUGAGCUCUAUGGGUGACAUAGGUGACUUCAUCUUUAUAGCGUCCAGAUCUCCACAAAUUAAUGAGAUCAGCCAACUGAAUUAAUUCUUUUAAGACAACACACAAAACUCGUCAGGAAGGCGUUGAACUAAUGUAACCAGAAUUGAAGAAGUUGAGUGAUAACCUAAUGCAGUUGAUGUAAGGACGGUUCUUUCAGGCAGGGAUUUUGGUUGAUUAAAGCAGGUCUGACCCAUCAUCUCAGGCCUCAAUCUUCACUUUCAGACAGAGGCCAUGGGUGAUUAGAGCAGGUCCACUGAGCACAGAGAGACAAAAAAGACACUAUUUGGGUCUUAGAAGAGCAAAGUCCAUCAAUAAGGUGGUUCAGGUGGUAGUUACCCAUACCUGGCAUAUUUCAUAAAAAGCUCAAUGACUAUGCAAAUAGUGCGAGUAUUUAAUGGUGAUGGUCUUUCUAGAAGCCAGAAGCCAUCUGCAAAAAGUAUGCCACCUACACUUCGCCGAACUGAACAUACAAUCAUCAGAGCUCUCACUGAAGAACUGGAGGAUGAUUGUAUGGUUCCAAUGGCUUUUUUUUGGCCUGGAUAUCUUAUAUUUAAAAUGUCUAUGCAUGGAAGUGUGUGUGUCUGUCUGGCCCGGAAGUGCAAGGCUACAGCAUGAAGCUCAAAGAAAGCGGCUCUGUCGCCAAAGUGAAACCUGAGAAAAGAGAAACUCGCUUAGUCGCUAAUAUCAAGCGAGGCAUGCACAUCUGAAAAACGAAACCUCUGAGGAGAGAGAACCUCGCUUAGCCGCUUAUAGACAAUGGAGGCGAGGAGAGAGAACCUCUCUUACCUGCUAAUGCACAACCAAUGCGAUUGAUUAAUUGAAGUUGCAGAAUCCAUGGAUUCUAGGAGUCUGGGCUUUUUACAGCAGGGGCUUACAGAGCUAGUGUGUGUGUAAAUGAUUAGACUACAUUGUAUACUGUAUUUCCUUUUGUACCUUAUUUCUCUUGUCUGGUUAUUUCCACCAUGGUUACCGAAGGAGCGUAUAUAUAUAUAUAUAUAUAUAUAUAUACAGUAAUCCCUCGCUACUUCGCGGUUCAGUUUUCGCGGAUUCACGACUUUGCGGGUUUUUAAAUACAAGUGAUUGCCCGCCUAUCGCGGAAGUUAUGUUCCAGACCCAUCAGCAACAGGAGAAAAUCCGCGAUAUAGAAAGACCAUAUAAAUAAACAUUUUUAUAGUUUAAGCCUUAAAAUACCCAUCCCACAUGCUUUAAACACAUGUAAACUUAUAAAACACACUUUGUUAACACAUAUGACAUAUGGAUGUCGGGCUAAGGAUAUGAGUAACAUCUCACUAUUAUAAAACAUUUUAACUUCACGCAAGACAAGACAGUGAGACAGGAAAAUUGGUGAUGUACAGGCUUUUAAAUUAUUGACACGCAGAGCGACAAGCAGCACAAAGCCAGCACAAAGUCCACUUCUCCUUAGCGCUCAUUCUGCUCCCCACCCCCUUGACAAUGCGAAGUGGCAGGAGCUUACUGCGCUUCCGGGGAGGGGGGGUUUGAGCGAAGGUGCGUUCAACCCUCAUACACCCACACCCACACACACACACACACACACACACACACUCCUCCUCCUCCUUCCAAACGGGCAGAUCGACAAGCAGGCAUUUUGGCAGAAGCAGCACAAAGUCCAUUUCUGCUCAGCGUGAGUUCAGCUGCCCCCCUUCACAAAUCGAGUGCAGACACAUUGACGUCUGAUCGCUGCGUGCAGUGUGCAGUGUUGGUCUGAGGUGUUUAAGAAUGUAGAAAGUGUUUAAGAGCAUAGGAAGUGUUUAUAAGAGUGUGGGAAAGGUUAACAAGAGAGUGAGAAAGGUUUAUAAGAGUGUGGGAAGGGUUUAUAAAGCCUUAAAAUAUGUAUAAAUAAUAAAAUAAAUAUAGGUCGCUACUUCGCGGAUUUUCACCUAUCGCGGGGGGCUCUGGAACGUAACGUAUAUAAUAUAGGUCCAAGUACGUUCUGUAUUUCAAUAAAGAACACAAUUCCCUUGAACAAGCGCCCCCUGAUGGAGACAAUUGACAUUCUGACCCUUCUUCAGUGAACCCCCUCCCUCUGUGUUUGUGUCACACAUUAUGCUAUUUGUUAAUGGUUUUCUUCUAGUAUUGCAUUUUGCAUUUUAUUUUGGUUUAUAGUUCUAUUAUGUACUACAGGGUUUACCCCCUGCUAGCUACCCCCCCCCCCCCCGCAGCCACUUUGUGUCUCUGCCACUCGUAUUGUGAAGAGGGGGCUGAACGCACCCCAAGGAGACCCUGUCACUCCUCCGAAACCCCUCUUAAAACAGUGUUACAAUGGGAAACAAAUAGUUUUUUUAUCCCCUCUUUGCUCGAUCAGCUGCUGGUUUGCUGCUGCUGCUGUGCCGUGUGAUCUGCAUUUCGCGCGGUGCUUUGAACAUUUAAAGGCCUGUACAGCAGCUGUCCUACUCUUUGUCUUUUAUUUCUGGCCCUGUGCGUGGUUAAAUCUCGUCUCACAGGACUGAGCUCUUGAUAAUUUUUAGUUUAUAAUUUAAAAAGGGAAUAAGAAUCUGGAAAUCUAACAGUAUCACAUUAAAGUUCGAUAAAUUCUGAAAAGAAUGAUACCAAACAUAUAUAUGUAGGUUUUAAAACAAGCCAGAUUUAAAGUGUGACAAAAAACGUAACAUAAAAACAUCACAUAAAAUCAUUGCACAAAAUCGUUGCACUUUUAGACUUAGGAUUUUAUACAUAUAGACAGAGUAGAUUAUAUCAGAUAUUUUUGUAUUCAAUGCCCGGCAGUUCUUCUGAGACUCUGUGAAGCACUUUGAGCCUCUUGGGGAGCCACCCAUAAAGCACAAAGACACAACAGACCGCGGACUUCCACAGAGAAACAGAAUUACACAGACCUGAACAUCAUAUAAGUGAUUAUUAUUAUUAUUAUAAACACAUCAAAAGCAAUUUAAACAGAUGAAACAUGAAAAUGAAGCCUAAACAAGCAGAGAUCCUGAACUGGUAGAGCUCCACUAACCCAAGUCAGCACACAGCCCUGCAGUCUCCAUUGAUGAGCACUGCCAGUAGUUUUGUUCUUACUGAAGAGCUCAGUGAGUUCAGGAUGCCACCUUUGGUUCCAGUCUGCCCCGGUCAACUGUACCUGCUGUUAUUGUGAAGUAAGAGCAUGAAGGAGCAGCAGCUCAGCCAUGAAGUGGUAGACCACACAGACUCACAGAGCCCACACAAAUCCCUUCUCUAUGGCAUCAGGACAUUCACAAAUGGGUUUACUGCUAUAAAACUGGCCUCCUGCCAUUUCACUCUGGAGUGAGGAGUUGCACUCCACUACCUGGCAGUCUGAUGGACAAAUCCAAGUUUGGUGAUGCUAGGAGAGCAUUACCUUUCAGAUCUUAUGACGUCUACUAUCAAAUCUGGUGGAGGAGGAGUGAUAAUGGCAGGGUUUGGACUUGGUCCCUUUGGUUCCAGUGAAAGGCAGCUGGUUAUACUACAAGAGACAAAGCCAUUUGAGACAGUUGUGCUCUUCAGUUUGGGGAAAACCCUUUUCUGUUCCAGCAUAAUAAGCAAGUCCACAAAAGACAUGGAGAGACUCCAGCAGCCCACACAAAGCCCUGAUGUCAACCCUUUGGAAUGAAUGGGAAUGCUGAUUGCACAGCCAAAAACAAUCCAAAUAAUCCAAAUGGUUAAAAGACCACUUAACGUGACAGAAAGAGAAGGAUCUCAACCCUUAGCCCAAUAAAGGCUGACGGCCCCCUCAGUCCCUUGUGGUUCAUUGAAUGUGCUUAGCGGUGUUGGUGACUUCUUGUGAUUGUUUGAUGUCGAUGCUCUGCUUUUCACUUUGCCUUCUGGGUUUGUGUUUUUGGGAUUUGUUUGCCUUGGAUGGCCUUUACUGUUUAAGGCAACUGCCUCUUGUGCUCUUCAGAGCUUCCUUGUUGCAGAGCAUUUUUGGAAAAUAAAUAUUUUUAUUUUUAAA
Erpetoichthys calabaricus (reedfish) is the source of this 6147-nucleotide RNA transcript. It is a transcript of the gene named ICOS ligand-like, with no coding region annotated. The record is from RefSeq and is a predicted model, not a curated record. The transcript is spliced from 7 exons. NCBI's taxonomy places the organism in Eukaryota, Metazoa, Chordata, Cladistia, Polypteriformes, Polypteridae.